GAUGAACGCUGGCGGCGUGCCUAAUACAUGCAAGUCGAGCGAACAGAUAAGGAGCUUGCUCCUUUGACGUUAGCGGCGGACGGGUGAGUAACACGUGGGUAACCUACCUAUAAGACUGGGAUAACUUCGGGAAACCGGAGCUAAUACCGGAUAAUAUUUCGAACCGCAUGGUUCGAUAGUGAAAGAUGGUUUUGCUAUCACUUAUAGAUGGACCCGCGCCGUAUUAGCUAGUUGGUAAGAUAACGGCUUACCAAGGCGACGAUACGUAGCCGACCUGAGAGGGUGAUCGGCCACACUGGAACUGAGACACGGUCCAGACUCCUACGGGAGGCAGCAGUAGGGAAUCUUCCGCAAUGGGCGAAAGCCUGACGGAGCAACGCCGCGUGAGUGAUGAAGGUCUUCGGAUCGUAAAACUCUGUUAUUAGGGAAGAACAUACGUGUAAGUAACUGUGCACGUCUUGACGGUACCUAAUCAGAAAGCCACGGCUAACUACGUG
This 497-nucleotide ribosomal RNA is filed under the name uncultured bacterium. Its description in RNAcentral is "partial 16S ribosomal RNA". It matches the Rfam family "Bacterial small subunit ribosomal RNA", at positions 28 to 507 of the family's 1533-position model. The record is from RNAcentral.